CGGCUAACUCCGUGCCAGCAGCCGCGGUAAUACGGAGGGUGCGAGCGUUAAUCGGAAUUACUGGGCGUAAAGGGCACGCAGGCGGUUAAUUAAGUUGGAUGUGAAAUCCCCGGGCUUAACCUGGGAAUGGCAUUCAAGACUGGUUAGCUAGAGUCUUGUAAAGGGGGGUAGAAUUCCAUGUGUAGCGGUGAAAUGCGUAGAGAUAUGGAGGAAUACCGGUGGCGAAGGCGGCCCCCUGGACAAAGACUGACGCUCAUGUGCGAAAGCGUGGGGAGCAAACAGGAUUAGAUACCCUGGUAGUCCACGCUGUAAACGAUGUCGAUUUGGAGGUUGUGGUCAUGAACUGUGGCCUCCGGAGCUAACGCGUUAAAUCGACCGCCUGGGGAGUACGGCCGCAAGGCUAAAACUCAAAUGAAUUGACGGGGGCCCGCACAAGCGGUGGAGCAUGUGGUUUAAUUCGAUGCAACGCGAAGAACCUUACCUACUCUUGACAUCCAGCGAAUCCUUUAGAGAUAGAGGAGUGCCUUCGGGAGCGCUGAGACAGGUGCUGCAUGGCUGUCGUCAGCUCGUGUUGUGAAAUGUUGGGUUAAGUCCCGCAACGAGCGCAACCCUUAUCCUUUGUUGCCAGCG
This 630-nucleotide ribosomal RNA is filed under the name Arsenophonus endosymbiont of Trialeurodes vaporariorum. Its description in RNAcentral is "bacterial SSU rRNA". It matches the Rfam family "Bacterial small subunit ribosomal RNA", at positions 494 to 1123 of the family's 1533-position model. The record is from RNAcentral. Lineage: Bacteria; Pseudomonadati; Pseudomonadota; Gammaproteobacteria; Enterobacterales; Morganellaceae.